UACGUAGGCAGCAAGCGUUGUUCGGAAUUACUGGGCGUAAAGAGUGUGUAGGCGGUGCUCCAAGUCUGGUGUGAAAUCUCCCGGCUUAACUGGGAGGGUGCAUUAGAAACUGGAAUGCUAGAGGAUGGGAGAGGUAAGCGGAAUUCCUGGUGUAGCGGUGAAAUGCGUAGAUAUCAGGAGGAACACCUGUGGUGUAGACAGCUUACUGGACCAUUCUGACGCUGAGACACGAAAGCGUGGGUAGCAAACAGG
RNAcentral lists this ribosomal RNA (252 nucleotides) under uncultured bacterium. RNAcentral's name for it is "partial 16S ribosomal RNA". It matches the Rfam family "Bacterial small subunit ribosomal RNA", at positions 524 to 776 of the family's 1533-position model. The record is from RNAcentral.